Molecule: long non-coding RNA, 823 nt
Organism: Bolinopsis microptera
Lineage: Eukaryota; Metazoa; Ctenophora; Tentaculata; Lobata; Bolinopsidae
Exons: 2
Source: RefSeq, a predicted model, not a curated record
UUGAGAGUGCUAACAACUUUGCACAGUUCUUUAAAUCAAAGGUCGACAACAUAUACAAAAACAUUUAUUUAGAACAACAAUCCCAAGAUUCUCCUAACUCAGAUGAAUUUGUUCCUCUUUCUAAUAGCCCAAAGAUAGUACAAUUCCGUCAUGUGUCUGAUGAAGAACUAGUAAGCAUCAUAAAGAAUAUGUCUAACAAAUUCUGUGAUCUUGACCCCAUACCUACAAAGAUUCUCAUCAAGUGUCUCCCAGAACUCCUUCCUCUGAUCUCAUUUAUAGUCAAUGAAUCAUUAGUUAAAGGUGAGUUUCCUAUAAAACUUAAGGAGGCUCUCAUUCGUCCAAGUUUGAAGAAACGUGGCCUUGACGGUGAAUCUCUAUCUAACUAUAGGCCUAUUAGCAAUCUCUCAUUCUUGUCAAAAAUCAUUGAGAAGUGUGUAUCUAUACAGCUCACCAGUUAUCUUGAGGAUAACAACUUGCUUUCUAAAGUUCAGUCCGGCUAUAGGAAGUUUCAUAGCUGUGAAACUGCAACAACCAGAAUCCAUAACGACAUCUUGAUAACUAUUGACAAGAAAACUAAAGUUGUUCUUUUACUUCUAGAUUUGAGUGCUGCCUUUGAUACUGUCAAUCACCCAAGAUUAAUCAAGAAGCUAAGAUCUGCUUAUGGCAUUACAGGCAUUGCUCUUACAUGGAUCAGGUCCUACUUGGCUAACCGUUCAUUUUGUGUCAAAGUCAAGGAUUCGUCUUCCUCAGCAACUGUUCUUGAGAUAGGUGUGCCACAAGGUUCAAUCCUUGGCCCCCUGCUAUUCAUAUUGUACACCAAAGA